UUCUCGCAGCGCAGGUUCAAAGAGGUGGUGACUAUUCAUUGGAUAAACAUGGAGGUGUGUCUACUUCAUUUUAAUAAACAAGAGGUCAGGGACGUAUGUAAAUGCGUGUACAUGUAUAUACUGUUAGCUCAUGGAAAGUUUCAACGAUUUGAGAUCAAUAAAUUAGAAUUAUACCGCAUAUUUUGUAAUAAUAAUGUUGACGAAAUUGUAAACUAACUUAAGAAAACACAGUAAAAGUAUUUAACGACAUGAAAAAAUAUACAUAUUAGUGUAAUUCGUUGCAUCAGCCUCCGGCAUUUACUAACCGACUUUUGUGGAUACCUGACCUCCACAUUGAGAUCAGCUGUUCUUUCAGGUACUGAUCAAGGACGAGGAAAGGAGUCUGGGAUCUUGCAGCAUUUUCAUGGAUGGUACAUAUAGAGACGAGACUUCAUUAAGAUUUCUUCAUCCAAUAUCAAAUCGUGACAAGAACAUAAGAAAACAUGCAUUUGAUGCCACAACCAGAACGAUUGAAACCUGGUUGACAGGAUAUGCAACACCUUUUAAUUCACUAGAGUCAAUCGCAAGUGUGAACGGUGUUGGUAAUAACAUUGCUAUUGCUAAACUGCAAGAAAGGGUUCCUGAUCUUUUACGGCUAGUAUGUGGAUGUCCGUUCAAAGACAUUAGAGACAAAAGCAAAUGUCUUCUAGAUGACCUAAAG
Long non-coding RNA from Ruditapes philippinarum (Manila clam), 700 nucleotides. RefSeq lists it as uncharacterized. The record is from RefSeq and is a predicted model, not a curated record. The transcript has 2 exons. NCBI's taxonomy places the organism in Eukaryota, Metazoa, Mollusca, Bivalvia, Venerida, Veneridae.